GCAGAGAUGGCUGAGCUGGUCUAAGGCGCACGACUGGAAAUCGUGUGAACGCUAAUACCGUUCCGAGAGUUCGAAUCUCUCUCUCUGCGCCA
Molecule: transfer RNA, 92 nt
Filed under: Oscillospiraceae bacterium
Lineage: Bacteria; Bacillati; Bacillota; Clostridia; Eubacteriales; Oscillospiraceae
Description: tRNA-Ser
Rfam family: tRNA
About the family: Transfer RNA (tRNA) molecules are approximately 80 nucleotides in length. Their secondary structure includes four short double-helical elements and three loops (D, anti-codon, and T loops). Further hydrogen bonds mediate the characteristic L-shaped molecular structure. tRNAs have two regions of fundamental functional importance: the anti-codon, which is responsible for specific mRNA codon recognition, and the 3' end, to which the tRNAs corresponding amino acid is attached (by aminoacyl-tRNA synthetases). tRNAs cope with the degeneracy of the genetic code in two manners: having more than one tRNA (with a specific anti-codon) for a particular amino acid; and 'wobble' base-pairing, i.e. permitting non-standard base-pairing at the 3rd anti-codon position.
Source: RNAcentral